AGAGUUUGAUCAUGGCUCAGAAUCAACGCUGGCGGCGUGCCUAACACAUGCAAGUCGAACGCGAAAGUGGAGCAAUCCAUGAGUAGAGUGGCAAACGGGUGAGUAACGCGUGGGUGACCUGCCUUCGAGUGGGGGAUAACGUUCCGAAAGGGACGCUAAUACCGCAUAACAUCCUGUCUUUUAAGAGAUGGACAUCAAAGCUUGGGACCGCAAGGCCAGGCGCUUGAAGAGGGGCCCGCGUCUGAUUAGCUAGUUGGUGGGGUAAUGGCUCACCAAGGCUUCGAUCAGUAUCCGGCCUGAGAGGGCGGACGGACACACUGGGACUGAGACACGGCCCAGACUCCUACGGGAGGCAGCAGUGGGGAAUUGUUCGCAAUGGGCGCAAGCCUGACGACGCAACGCCGCGUGGAGGAUGAAGAUCUUCGGGUCGUAAACUCCUUUCGAUCGAGACGAAUGGCCCUUGGGUUAACAGCCUGAGGGAAUGACGGUACCGAGAGAAGAAGCCCCGGCUAACUCCGUGCCAGCAGCCGCGGUAAUACGGGGGGGGCAAGCGUUGUUCGGAAUUACUGGGCGUAAAGGGCUCGUAGGUGGCCAACUAAGUCAGACGUGAAAUCCCUCGGCUUAACCGGGGAACUGCGUCUGAUACUGGAUGGCUUGAGUUUGGGAGAGGGACGCGGAAUUCCAGGUGUAGCGGUGAAAUGCGUAGAUAUCUGGAGGAACACCGGUGGCGAAGGCGGCGUCCUGGACCAAUACUGACACUGAUGAGCGAAAGCCAGGGGAGCAAACGGGAUUAGAUACCCCGGUAGUCCUGGCCCUAAACGAUGAAUGCUUGGUGUGGCGGGUAUCGAUCCCUGCCGUGCCGAAGCUAACGCAUUAAGCAUUCCGCCU
RNAcentral lists this ribosomal RNA (888 nucleotides) under uncultured bacterium. RNAcentral describes it as "bacterial SSU rRNA". It matches the Rfam family "Bacterial small subunit ribosomal RNA", at positions 9 to 873 of the family's 1533-position model. The record is from RNAcentral.